UGCAGCUGUAUGGCCCUGGUGCCACUGGACAACCACAGCUACUGCUGGACCCCUACAGUUACCUCCAGACUCCUGCUUCAGACUACUGGUGGACCUGCUACAGCUGCCAGUGGUCCUAUGGAUCUGGUCCAGGAGGAGCCCUGUGGUUUGACUCUGGCCGAGGGCCUGAGACUUACCGCUGUCUCAGUCUAUACCAUCUGUAUCCGGGAUCCACGGUCUUGCCGGUGCGGCUGAACGCAGAGGCAUGUGGGGCAGCUCCACCUGGUGGCAGUGGCAACCUGGAAGUAAACUAGGUUAUGUGAAUCAACAUGAACUGAAUUUGUCCUGAAAAUUUCAGAAUCUCCAUCUAUACUCCAAUUUGUGGUUGUGCUUUUCUCACCACUGCAUGGUACCAGGGCACAUGUUUUUGGGCCGUAUUAUGAUCCAGGCUGUCCUGCCAGACCAGAGCCUGCAAAGAAACUUACUGUUGGACCCUGGGACAACAGCGCAAUAACCGGAGCUGUGCAGCUGGUAACCCGAGGAUGAAUGCAUUCCCUCUGGUCUGUCCCAGCUGCUGUGGGCCAUUGGGAGUUCCGCCAGAAGCCAAAAGGGGCCACUAGCACAAUGAACUUCCCUGGAGAGGGGAAGCACAAGAGGAGCUGAGCUCAUUCAAACCAUGCGAGGCAUGGAGAUAGUGCUGGAAGCCAGGGACAAAGCUGGACCAGGUGACAACAAACCCCUCCUCAAGAGAAGCGGCACAGAGAGCCACAGCAGAGGAAAAGAGCUUCCCGGACCAAUGCAGAAACUGAAGCACAAAGUGAGUAACUUGCCUAGGACUACACAACAGGUCAGAAGCUGAGCUGUAAUUGGAUCUCAGGAAUUCCUGAACUGAGCUUUUAUCAUAAAAUAAACUUCAAUUAAAAUGUAGUAUUUGUCCCACAGAAGGCAAUCCAAAUAGUGCUCUCUACAGCAGGGACCUAUAUAGGUGCCCAUACUUUCUUCUGUCCAAUUACAGCAUUUCAUUAACUCCCCUAAGGUAAUGAUGUUACCGAAAAAUAGAAUGGCCAUUGCCUUUUUUCUCAAGCAAUACCUUGUUUAUGACUCUGGACAUUAUAAGCUGUCUUAAUGAGAAAACAAAUUUUAAUUAAUAAACUACAGUCAUUCCUUA
This is a long non-coding RNA of Alligator mississippiensis (American alligator), 1147 nucleotides long. RefSeq lists it as uncharacterized. The record is from RefSeq and is a predicted model, not a curated record. The transcript is spliced from 5 exons. Lineage: Eukaryota; Metazoa; Chordata; Crocodylia; Alligatoridae.